Molecule: regulatory RNA element, 59 nt
Organism: Aureimonas sp. Leaf324
Lineage: Bacteria; Pseudomonadati; Pseudomonadota; Alphaproteobacteria; Hyphomicrobiales; Aurantimonadaceae
Rfam family: terC RNA
Source: Rfam
GCGCCAGGCCGGGCCCCUCUGGCAGUCGCGUCCUGCGGCUGCGAUGUCGGACUGGCGGA